This 468-nucleotide ribosomal RNA is filed under the name uncultured bacterium. RNAcentral's name for it is "partial 16S ribosomal RNA". It matches the Rfam family "Bacterial small subunit ribosomal RNA", at positions 28 to 507 of the family's 1533-position model. The record is from RNAcentral.
GACGAACGCUGGCGGCGUGCUUAACACAUGCAAGUCGAACGGAAAGGCCCUGCUUUUGUGGGGUGCUCGAGUGGCGAACGGGUGAGUAACACGUGAGUAACCUGCCCUUGACUUUGGGAUAACUUCAGGAAACUUGGGCUAAUACCGGAUAGGAGCUCCUGCUGCAUGGUGGGGGUUGGAAAGUUUCGGCGGUUGGGGAUGGACUCGCGGCUUAUCAGCUUGUUGGUGGGGUAGUGGCUUACCAAGGCUUUGACGGGUAGCCGGCCUGAGAGGGUGACCGGCCACAUUGGGACUGGGAUACGGCCCAGACUCCUACGGGAGGCAGCAGUGGGGAAUAUUGCGCAAUGGGCGGAAGCCUGAUGCAGCAACGCCGCGUGCGGGAUGACGGCCUUCGGGUUGUAAACCGCUUUCGCCUGUGACGAAGCGUGAGUGACGGUAAUGGGUAAAGAAGCACCGGCUAACUACGUG